CACACAGUAAACGAUGAUAACUAGCCGUUGGCGAUAUACAGUCAGUGGCAGAGCGAAAGCAUUAAGUUAUCCACCUGGGGAGUACGCCGGCAACGGUGAAACUCAAAGGAAUUGACGGGGGCCCGCACAAGCGGAGGAACAUGUGGUUUAAUUCGAUGAUACGCGAGGAACCUUACCCGGGCUUGAAUUGCAGAGGAAUAAUGUGGAAACAUGUUAGCCAGUAAUGGUCUCUGUGAAGGUGC
This 242-nucleotide ribosomal RNA is filed under the name uncultured Bacteroidota bacterium. RNAcentral's name for it is "uncultured Bacteroidetes bacterium partial 16S ribosomal RNA". It matches the Rfam family "Bacterial small subunit ribosomal RNA", at positions 796 to 1041 of the family's 1533-position model. The record is from RNAcentral. Lineage: Bacteria; Pseudomonadati; Bacteroidota.